GUGACCUCAAAUCAGGUAGGACUACCCGCUGAACUUAAGCAUAUCAAUAAGCGGAGGAAAAGAAACUAACAAGGAUUCCCCUAGUAACUGCGAGUGAAGCGGGAAAAGCUCAAAUUUAAAAUCUGACAGUCUUUGGCUGUCCGAGUUGUAAUCUAGAGAAGUGUUAUCCGCGCUGGACCGUGUACAAGUCUCCUGGAAUGGAGCGUCAUAGAGGGUGAGAAUCCCGUCUUUGACACGGACUACCAGGGCUUUGUGAUGCGCUCUCAAAGAGUCGAGUUGUUUGGGAAUGCAGCUCAAAAUGGGUGGUAAAUUCCAUCUAAAGCUAAAUAUUGGCGAGAGACCGAUAGCGAACAAGUACCGUGAGGGAAAGAUGAAAAGAACUUUGGAAAGAGAGUUAAACAGUACGUGAAAUUGCUGAAAGGGAAACGCUUGAAGUCAGUCGCGUUGUCCAGGGAUCAACCUUGCUUUUGCUUGGUGCACUUUCUGGUUGACGGGUCAGCAUCAAUUUUGACCAUUGGAAAAAGAUUAAGGGAAUGUGGCAUCUUUGGAUGUGUUAUAGCCCUUGGUUGCAUACGAUGGUUGGGAUUGAGGAACUCAGCACGCCGCAAGGCCGGGUUUAACCACGUACGUGCUAGAUGCUGC
This 642-nucleotide ribosomal RNA is filed under the name Cortinarius semisanguineus. Its description in RNAcentral is "eukaryotic LSU rRNA". It matches the Rfam family "Eukaryotic large subunit ribosomal RNA", at positions 1 to 629 of the family's 3401-position model. The record is from RNAcentral. Lineage: Eukaryota; Fungi; Basidiomycota; Agaricomycetes; Agaricales; Cortinariaceae.